Molecule: transfer RNA, 77 nt
Filed under: Bacillus vallismortis
Lineage: Bacteria; Bacillati; Bacillota; Bacilli; Caryophanales; Bacillaceae
Description: tRNA-Pro
Rfam family: tRNA
About the family: Transfer RNA (tRNA) molecules are approximately 80 nucleotides in length. Their secondary structure includes four short double-helical elements and three loops (D, anti-codon, and T loops).
Source: RNAcentral
CGGGAAGUAGCUCAGCUUGGUAGAGCACAUGGUUUGGGACCAUGGGGUCGCAGGUUCGAAUCCUGUCUUCCCGACCU